RNAcentral lists this ribosomal RNA (503 nucleotides) under uncultured bacterium. RNAcentral's name for it is "partial 16S ribosomal RNA". It matches the Rfam family "Bacterial small subunit ribosomal RNA", at positions 28 to 505 of the family's 1533-position model. The record is from RNAcentral.
GACGAACGCUGGCGGCGUGCCUAAUACAUGCAAGUAGAACGCACAGUUUAUACCGUAGCUUGCUACACCAUAGACUGUGAGUUGCGAACGGGUGAGUAACGCGUAGGUAACCUGCCUGGUAGCGGGGGAUAACUAUUGGAAACGAUAGCUAAUACCGCAUAAUAUUAAUUAUUGCAUGAUAAUUAAUUGAAAGGUGCAAUUGCACCACUACCAGAUGGACCUGCGUUGUAUUAGCUAGUAGGUGAGGUAACGGCUCACCUAGGCGACGAUACAUAGCCGACCUGAGAGGGUGAUCGGCCACACUGGGACUGAGACACGGCCCAGACUCCUACGGGAGGCAGCAGUAGGGAAUCUUCGGCAAUGGACGAAAGUCUGACCGAGCAACGCCGCGUGAGUGAAGAAGGUUUUCGGAUCGUAAAGCGCUGUUGUAAGAGAAGAACGGGUGUGAGAGUGGAAAGUUCACACUGUGACGGUAUCUUACCAGAAAGGGACGGCUAACUACG